RNAcentral lists this long non-coding RNA (281 nucleotides) under Saimiri boliviensis boliviensis (Bolivian squirrel monkey). RNAcentral's name for it is "lncRNA (ENSSBOG00000036751.1)". The record is from RNAcentral. Lineage: Eukaryota; Metazoa; Chordata; Mammalia; Primates; Cebidae.
UUGCCCAGACUGGAAUGCAAUGGUGCAAUUUUGGAUCACUGCAACCUCUGCCUCCCAGGUUCAAGCGAUUCUCCUGCCUCAGCCUCCCGAGUAGCUAGGACUACAGGCACCUGCCAUAACGCCCAGCCAAUUACUCUCUCGGUGCUGGACAAAGAUCAGACCAGGUUUGAGGAACGCUGGAAAUGAAAUUUAUGGAUAUCUAUUACUUCUACUCAUAAGCUUUAUCAAGCAAAAACAGGUAAGAGUACAGACAGGCAUAGGGCAUAUCUGAGGUAGGUUAG